UACGGAGGGUGCAAGCGUUGUCCGGAUUUAUUGGGUUUAAAGGGUGCGUAGGCGGCUUUUUUAAGUCAGUGGUGAAAUACAGCAGCUCAACUGUUGAGGUGCCAUUGAUACUGAGAGGCUUGAGUACAGAUGAGGUAGGCGGAAUUUAUGGUGUAGCGGUGAAAUGCAUAGAUACCAUAAAGAACACCGAUUGCGAAGGCAGCUUACUAAGCUGUAACUGACGCUGAGGCACGAAAAGCGUGGGGAGCGAACAGG
This 255-nucleotide ribosomal RNA is filed under the name uncultured bacterium. RNAcentral describes it as "partial 16S ribosomal RNA". It matches the Rfam family "Bacterial small subunit ribosomal RNA", at positions 524 to 776 of the family's 1533-position model. The record is from RNAcentral.